AAAAAAUAGUUGUUGAGUAGUAAUUGUUAUGUUCAUGAAACUCAAAGAAUUUGGCGGUAUUUUAGUCUAAUCAGAGGAAUUUGUCCUAUAAUCGAUGAUUCACGUUUAACCUUACUUAAUUUUGUCAAUCAGUUUGUAUAUCGCCGUCAUCAGAUUAUCUUAUCAAAGAAUUAAUUUUCUAAAUUUUAAAUAAAGAGGUAUGUCAGGUCAAGGUGCAGUUUAUAAUUAAGAAAGAGAUGAAUUACAAUAAAGUUAUUUAUAUGGAAAUUAAGUUGAAAUUUAUUUAAUUGAAGGUGGAUUUGAAAGUAAAUAUUUAAAUUUUAUAAUAUUGAUUUUAGCUCUAAAAUAUG
RNAcentral lists this ribosomal RNA (350 nucleotides) under Macropathinae sp. FOX1. RNAcentral describes it as "partial 12S ribosomal RNA". Lineage: Eukaryota; Metazoa; Arthropoda; Insecta; Orthoptera; Rhaphidophoridae. The record is from RNAcentral. RNAcentral also lists the same sequence under 3 other names.